Molecule: ribosomal RNA, 1015 nt
Filed under: fungal sp. AM0082
Lineage: Eukaryota; Fungi
Description: eukaryotic LSU rRNA
Rfam family: Eukaryotic large subunit ribosomal RNA (bases 487-1015)
Source: RNAcentral
UUACACAAAUAUGAAGGCGGGCUGGAACCUCUCGGGGUUACAGCCUUGCUGAAUUAUUCACCCUUGUCUUUUGCGUACUUCUUGUUUCCUUGGUGGGUUCGCCCACCACUAGGACAAACAUAAACCUUUUGUAAUUGCAAUCAGCGUCAGUAACAAAUUAAUAAUUACAACUUUCAACAACGGAUCUCUUGGUUCUGGCAUCGAUGAAGAACGCAGCGAAAUGCGAUAAGUAGUGUGAAUUGCAGAAUUCAGUGAAUCAUCGAAUCUUUGAACGCACAUUGCGCCCUUUGGUAUUCCAAAGGGCAUGCCUGUUCGAGCGUCAUUUGUACCCUCAAGCUUUGCUUGGUGUUGGGCGUCUUGUCUCUAGCUUUGCUGGAGACUCGCCUUAAAGUAAUUGGCAGCCGGCCUACUGGUUUCGGAGCGCAGCACAAGUCGCACUCUCUAUCAGCAAAGGUCUAGCAUCCAUUAAGCCUUUUUUUCAACUUUUGACCUCGGAUCAGGUAGGGAUACCCGCUGAACUUAAGCAUAUCAAUAAGCGGAGGAAAAGAAACCAACAGGGAUUGCCCUAGUAACGGCGAGUGAAGCGGCAACAGCUCAAAUUUGAAAUCUGGCUCUUUUAGAGUCCGAGUUGUAAUUUGCAGAGGGCGCUUUGGCUUUGGCAGCGGUCCAAGUUCCUUGGAACAGGACGUCACAGAGGGUGAGAAUCCCGUACGUGGUCGCUGGCUAUUGCCGUGUAAAGCCCCUUCGACGAGUCGAGUUGUUUGGGAAUGCAGCUCUAAAUGGGAGGUACAUUUCUUCUAAAGCUAAAUAUUGGCCAGAGACCGAUAGCGCACAAGUAGAGUGAUCGAAAGAUGAAAAGCACUUUGGAAAGAGAGUCAAACAGCACGUGAAAUUGUUGAAAGGGAAGCGCUUGCAGCCAGACUUGCUUACAGUUGCUCAUCCGGGUUUCUACCCGGUGCACUCUUCUGUAGGCAGGCCAGCAUCAGUUUGGGCGGUAGGAUAAAGGUCUCUGUCA